UCGUUCGCUCUUUUCUCUUCGAAAACUUACCGAAGAUCGCACUGAUUACGCUCGAAACACCUCGUCGCUUGAAGAAUACUUCCAUAUUUGCCAAGUGGAGAAGUUUCGUAUUCCAGCGCUGUUUGGUUUUCGAGAAAAUAUCAACUUUCAAGAAUUCCUGAAGAUAAAAAAACAAAGCAAAACUUUCCAGUAGAGAAAAAUUAGCAGACGAUAUUCCGUAGUAGUGUAUAGGAUACCUCCUGCCCUGAAGAAUUACUUAAUUGCCACCUUCCGCCUUGCACUGUAUACAGAUUGGUACAUGUUGACAGUUCACAAUCCAGUCAAAUAAAAAGUGAGUAAACUUUUAAGAGAGAAAAAAAGGAGGUUAUUCUGUCAAAAUGUUUUUGAAAAUUAGUUGUUUAACGCAAAGCAGGUGUUUAGGUCUUCUGGGGCAAGAAGUACAUGUGUUCUGUCCUGUGAAAUCCAGGUAAACUUACGGCCCAGAGUCUCGAGAAGAAGGCUUACGAACAGGCUUAAGUAAUUGCUUGUUUAGGAUUGGAGCAAAUUACCGUGUGGAUCAGAGAAAGGGCAGCAACGUUGACGAAAAUCUAGACUUAAUCUGCAUUUCCCUGCAACACUGUUACACAUCGAAAACAUGCAUGACUCGAUUGAUUUAGAAGUAUUUAAAAGAAUUACAUCAUUUACGAUUUUCUCCUCUAAACCGAGAUAAUGCAUAGAGCAAGUGGAAAUAGCAUUUUGUUUUUAAACGUAAUUGUUACUAAUGGUGUGGUAGAAUAUAUAGCAUAUGUUUCAAAUUUGAAAUUGGGGGGAAAAGCGGUGAUUUAAUUGAUAAGGUAACCAUGUGACACUGGAGACGCCGGCUAAAGAAACCUUUCUUCUGAAUGAUUCACCAUUUUGAUAUAAUCUCGAAGAAAUUAGAUUUGUUAUGACUUAAAUUUUAUUAUCGUCUGUUCAAUAUUUUAUACGCAUUAUUGUCAGAAGCAAUUAACUACUUCGUACUCCUAAAAGUGUGCAAGUAGGAUGAGAGAUCUGCAUUAUGUUAAAUAGUUGAUGAGGUUGGCCUUUCAAAGAAAAAAACACAAUGAAUCGGCAUGGUUAAAAUAAAAAAGCUUAGAAGAAUAUAAGUAGCUUAUAAAACAAGAACCUACAAAAUAUUUAAAAAAAUAAACUCUGAAAUUAUAUUUAGAAAAAUUUAAUUAAACCUUUGGAAUAUUUCAUAAAUGU
This is a long non-coding RNA of Anneissia japonica, 1224 nucleotides long. RefSeq lists it as uncharacterized. The transcript has 3 exons. The record is from RefSeq and is a predicted model, not a curated record. Lineage: Eukaryota; Metazoa; Echinodermata; Crinoidea; Comatulida; Comatulidae.